UGAGUAAUGUAUCGCUAACGUACCCCUGGGACGAGGAUAGCCAUCCGAAAGGAUGGGUAAUACUCGGUGACAUAACCGCAUGCAUAGCCGCGCCGAGGGAUCGGGCGAUAUUGCAUCAGCUAGUUGGUGAGGUAACGGCUCACCAAGGCGACGACGCAUAGCCGGACUAAGAGGUUGUUCGGCCACAUUGGGACUGAGACACUGCCCAUACUCCUACGGGGGGCUGCAGUAACGAAUCUUCCGCAAUGCACGAAAGUGUGACGGAGCGACGCCGCGUGUGGGAUGAAGUCCUUCGGGAUGUAAACCACUGUCAGGGGUAAGAAAUGAUCUACCCCAGAGGAAGGCACGGCUAACUCUGUGCCAGCAGCCGCGGUAAGACAGAGGUGCCGAGCGUUAGGCGGAAUCACUGGGCUUAAAGCGUGUGUAGGCGGACUGACAAGUACCUUGUGAAAUCCCACGGCUUAACCGUGGAACUGCUUGGUAUAC
Molecule: ribosomal RNA, 486 nt
Filed under: uncultured soil bacterium
Lineage: Bacteria
Description: bacterial SSU rRNA
Rfam family: Bacterial small subunit ribosomal RNA
Source: RNAcentral